AUGAACGCUGGCGGCGUGCCUAACACAUGCAAGUCGACGAAGCGAUUUAACGGAAGUUUUCGGAUGGAAGUUGAAUUGACUGAGUGGCGGACGGGUGAGUAACGCGUGGGUAACCUGCCUUGUACUGGGGGACAACAGUUAGAAAUGACUGCUAAUACCGCAUAAGCGCACAGUAUCGCAUGAUACAGUGUGAAAAACUCCGGUGGUACAAGAUGGACCCGCGUCUGAUUAGCUAGUUGGUAAGGUAACGGCUUACCAAGGCGACGAUCAGUAGCCGACCUGAGAGGGUGACCGGCCACAUUGGGACUGAGACACGGCCCAA
This 322-nucleotide ribosomal RNA is filed under the name uncultured bacterium. RNAcentral's name for it is "bacterial SSU rRNA". It matches the Rfam family "Bacterial small subunit ribosomal RNA", at positions 29 to 334 of the family's 1533-position model. The record is from RNAcentral.